GGACGAACGCUGGCGGCGUGCCUAACACAUGCAAGUCGAGCGAUGAAAUCCUUCGGGAUGGAUUAGCGGCGGACGGGUGAGUAACACGUGGGUAACCUGCCUUGUAGAGGGGGAUAGCCUUCCGAAAGGAAGAUUAAUACCGCAUAACAUCUUUUUAUCGCAUGGUAGAAAGAUCAAAGGAGCAAUCCGCUACAAGAUGGACCCGCGGCGCAUUAGCUAGUUGGUGAGGUAACGGCUCACCAAGGCGACGAUGCGUAGCCGACCUGAGAGGGUGAUCGGCCACAUUGGAACUGAGACACGGUCCAGACUCCUACGGGAGGCAGCAGUGGGGAAUAUUGCGCAAUGGGGGAAAAACCCCCGUGACGCAGCAACGCCGCGUGAAUGAAGAAGGCCUUAGGGUUGUAAAGUUCUGUUUACGGGGACGAUAAUGACGGUACCCGUGGAGGAAGCCACGGCUAACUACGUGCCAGCAGCGGC
RNAcentral lists this ribosomal RNA (477 nucleotides) under uncultured bacterium. Its description in RNAcentral is "bacterial SSU rRNA". It matches the Rfam family "Bacterial small subunit ribosomal RNA", at positions 27 to 518 of the family's 1533-position model. The record is from RNAcentral.